RNAcentral lists this microRNA (22 nucleotides) under Gallus gallus (chicken). Its description in RNAcentral is "gga-miR-6544-5p". Lineage: Eukaryota; Metazoa; Chordata; Aves; Galliformes; Phasianidae. The record is from miRBase by way of RNAcentral.
UUCAGAAAAGGAUAUGAAUUGU